UGGGGAAUUUUGGACAAUGGGGGAAACCCUGAUCCAGCCAUCCCGCGUGUGCGAUGAAGGCCUUCGGGUUGUAAAGCACUUUUGGCAGGAAAGAAACGUCAUGGGUUAAUACCCCGUGAAACUGACGGUACCUGCAGAAUAAGCACCGGCUAACUACGUGCCAGCAGCCGCGGUAAUACGUAGGGUGCAAGCGUUAAUCGGAAUUACUGGGCGUAAAGCGUGCGCAGGCGGUUCGGAAAGAAAGAUGUGAAAUCCCAGCGCUUAACUUUGGAACUUCAUUUUUAACUACCGGGCUAGAGUGUGUCAGAGGGAGGUGGAAUUCCGCGUGUAGCAGUGAAAUGCGUAGAUAUGCGGAGGAACACCGAUGGCGAAGGCAGCCUCCUGGGAUAACACUGACGCUCAUGCACGAAAGCGUGGGGAGCAAACA
This 427-nucleotide ribosomal RNA is filed under the name uncultured bacterium. Its description in RNAcentral is "partial 16S ribosomal RNA". It matches the Rfam family "Bacterial small subunit ribosomal RNA", at positions 355 to 774 of the family's 1533-position model. The record is from RNAcentral.